This 251-nucleotide long non-coding RNA is filed under the name Mytilus galloprovincialis (Mediterranean mussel). Lineage: Eukaryota; Metazoa; Mollusca; Bivalvia; Mytilida; Mytilidae. The record is from RNAcentral.
GUCUACCGAAAAUAUAAGAUUUAAAUUAUAUACGCAAUCAAUAAUUUCUGUGAUGUUACUUUUAUUUCCGUUACAUAUCUAAUUUACGAGUACAAAAUAGUAAAACAGAAAAAUAGAAACGAUAAAUAUUCAGGAAUACCUAAAGUUUCGUAAGCAAUUGCAAGGUAUCACACGUUACUUAGAUUCCACGAGUUUUCAUAGCAAUUAGCAAUUUUUAAAACGAAUAUGUGAGAUAAAGAUCUACUGCAUUU